GAAUUAUUGGGCGUAAAGCGCGCGCAGGCGGUUCUUUAAGUCUGAUGUGAAAGCCCACGGCUCAACCGUGGAGGGUCAUUGGAAACUGGGGAACUUGAGUGCAGGAGAGAAAAGUGGAAUUCCACGUGUAGCGGUGAAAUGCGUAGAGAUGUGGAGGAACACCAGUGGCGAAGGCGGCUUUUUGGCCUGUAACUGACGCUGAGGCGCGAAAGCGUGGGGAGCAAACAGGAUUAGAUACCCUGGUAGUCCACGCCGUAAACGAUGAGUGCUAGGUGUUGGGGGGUUCCACCCUCAGUGCUGACGUUAACACAUUAAGCACUCCGCCUGGGGAGUACGGCCGCAAGGCUGAAACUCAAAGGAAUUGACGGGGGCCCGCACAAGCAGUGGAGCAUGUGGUUUAAUUCGAAGCAACGCGAAGAACCUUACCAGGUCUUGACAUCCUCUGACCACUUGAGAGAUCAAGCUUUCCCCUUCGGGGGACAGAGUGACAGGUGGUGCAUGGUUGUCGUCAGCUCGUGUCGUGAGAUGUUGGGUUAAGUCCCGCAACGAGCGCAACCCUUGACCUUAGUUGCCAGCAUUCAGUUGGGCACUCUAAGGUGACUGCCGGUGACAAACCGGAGGAAGGUGGGGAUGACGUCAAAUCAUCAUGCCCCUUAUGACCUGGGCUACACACGUGCUACAAUGGGUGGUACAAAGGGUUGCGAAGCCGCGAGGCCGAGCCAAUCCCAAAAAGCCACUCUCAGUUCGGAUUGUAGGCUGCAACUCGCCUACAUGAAGCCGGAAUUGCUAGUAAUCNCNGA
Molecule: ribosomal RNA, 800 nt
Filed under: Bacillus sp. F2A005
Lineage: Bacteria; Bacillati; Bacillota; Bacilli; Caryophanales; Bacillaceae
Description: bacterial SSU rRNA
Rfam family: Bacterial small subunit ribosomal RNA
Source: RNAcentral